AAGAAUCAAGAUUAUGUCAUGGUGUCUGUUCACACUAGCAUCAUUCUUUUGAAAUGUUAAAGCCAAUGUUUGCAGAGACAGAGAGCCUUGUUAAAGAGAGCAAGUUACAUGCUAGGAGUGGCACCAACACAAAUGAUAAAACUCAUCUAGCAAAAAGCUCUGAUAUCUCUUUUCAUAAUUUGGUUUUAUUUGAGAACUCAUUUGCAAACAGUUCUAUAAGC
This 221-nucleotide long non-coding RNA is filed under the name Elaeis guineensis (African oil palm). Its description in RNAcentral is "long non-coding RNA (EGUI_LNC043875)". The record is from RNAcentral. Lineage: Eukaryota; Viridiplantae; Streptophyta; Magnoliopsida; Arecales; Arecaceae.